AACGAACGCUGGCGGCAUGCCUAACACAUGCAAGUCGAACGAGACCUUCGGGUCUAGUGGCGCACGGGUGCGUAACGCGUGGGAACCUUCCCUUAGGUUCGGAAUAACUCCCCGAAAGGGGUUCUAAUACCGGAUAAUGUCUUCGGACCAAAGAUUUAUCGCCUUUGGAUGGGCCCGCUUUGGAUUAGCUAGUUGGUAGGGUAAAAGCCUACCAAGGCGACGAUCCAUAGCUGGUCUGAGAGGAUGAUCAGCCACACUGGGACUGAGACACGGCCCAGAAUCCUACGGGAGGCAGCAGUGGGGAAUAUUGGACAAUGGGCGAAAGCCUGAUCCAGCAAUGCCGCGUGAGUGAUGAAGGCCUUAGGGUUGUAAAGCUCUUUUACCCGGGAUGAUAAUGACAGUACCGGGAGAAUAAGCUCCGGCUAACUCCGUG
RNAcentral lists this ribosomal RNA (433 nucleotides) under uncultured bacterium. RNAcentral's name for it is "partial 16S ribosomal RNA". It matches the Rfam family "Bacterial small subunit ribosomal RNA", at positions 29 to 507 of the family's 1533-position model. The record is from RNAcentral.